GUAAUCUGGGCUACACCUUCUGCUGGAGACAA
RNAcentral lists this non-coding RNA (32 nucleotides) under Mus musculus (house mouse). The record is from RNAcentral. Lineage: Eukaryota; Metazoa; Chordata; Mammalia; Rodentia; Muridae.